RNAcentral lists this long non-coding RNA (413 nucleotides) under Salvia miltiorrhiza (redroot sage). RNAcentral describes it as "long non-coding RNA (SMIL_LNC013162)". The record is from RNAcentral. Lineage: Eukaryota; Viridiplantae; Streptophyta; Magnoliopsida; Lamiales; Lamiaceae.
UGUGUGUUGUGUAAGUCGAAGAUGGAAUCAAUCGAGCAUCUCUUCUUCUCAUGCCAAAAAACAGAUGAAGUAUGGAAAGAUAUAGUCUUGUGGCUCGGCAGGCAGACGACAUUUCAUCACCAGGUAAAAGAUCAUUUUAAUGCUUUCAUUAAUCUCGAGAAUAAAGAUAAUAAACGCUUCUUGCUUGGAGUCUGGAUAUGCUUGAUUUGGUGUAUAUGGAAAGGGCGAAACGAUUGCAAGUUUAACAAAGGAAAGUGGAGUAAAGAGAGGAUGGUCGCAGAGAUAAAAUCGUGACUGUGGGAAUGAAAGACAAUUUUCAACUUGCCGUCAUCUUCUUCGGAUUAUAGAAGCUGGUUCCUAGCACCAAGCCUCUCCAACUGAUCAUGAUCAGUGCAGGAGUGCUCAAACUUUGU